This 465-nucleotide ribosomal RNA is filed under the name Vreelandella stevensii. RNAcentral describes it as "partial 16S ribosomal RNA". It matches the Rfam family "Bacterial small subunit ribosomal RNA", at positions 338 to 795 of the family's 1533-position model. The record is from RNAcentral. Lineage: Bacteria; Pseudomonadati; Pseudomonadota; Gammaproteobacteria; Oceanospirillales; Halomonadaceae.
CCUACGGGCGGCAGCAGUGGGGAAUAUUGGACAAUGGGCGAAAGCCUGAUCCAGCCAUGCCGCGUGUGUGAAGAAGGCCUUCGGGUUGUAAAGCACUUUCAGUGGGGAAGAAAGCCUUGGGGCUAAUACCCUCUAGGAAGGACAUCACCCACAGAAGAAGCACCGGCUAACUCCGUGCCAGCAGCCGCGGUAAUACGGAGGGUGCGAGCGUUAAUCGGAAUUACUGGGCGUAAAGCGCGCGUAGGCGGUCUGAUAAGCCGGUUGUGAAAGCCCCGGGCUCAACCUGGGAACGGCAUCCGGAACUGUCAGGCUAGAGUGCAGGAGAGGAAGGUAGAAUUCCCGGUGUAGCGGUGAAAUGCGUAGAGAUCGGGAGGAAUACCAGUGGCGAAGGCGGCCUUCUGGACUGACACUGACGCUGAGGUGCGAAAGCGUGGGUAGCAAACAGGAUUAGAUACCCGGGUAGUC